Molecule: long non-coding RNA, 1628 nt
Filed under: Panax ginseng (ginseng)
Lineage: Eukaryota; Viridiplantae; Streptophyta; Magnoliopsida; Apiales; Araliaceae
Description: long non-coding RNA (PGIN_LNC012367)
Source: RNAcentral
UUAUUUUUUCUCUCAACUGGUUUAGCUCUUUUAUGGUAUCAGAGCAUUAACAAGCUCCCACGAGUCUUCUAAAAUGAUUCUAAACCUGUCUUCUCCUUUAUUGAAUUGCUUUUUCAUCAUAGCAGAAAAGAGCACAACCACAUCUUUCUCUCCUAACCAAAGCAAUCUCAUUGUUCUCAACUCAACACAAUUGCCUGUUAAAUUAACUCCAGAGAACUAUCUUUCAUGGAAAGCUCAGUUUGACUCAUAGCUUUUUGGCUACGAUGUGACGUCCCCAAAUUGGGUCGCCAGAUACACAGUACAGAAUUCAAAUACAAACUUCAUUUAUACAACUGUUGAACUGUCGUGCAAAAUACGCACUACUACAAAACAGUAAAUAGAUAACGCGGAAAAAACGUUGUGGUUUCAAUCAGAAAAACGUCGUGGUUAAGGGUGUUAUCUAUUUGACACACUUACACAACGUUUUUAAAACGUUGUAGUUAAGCACAAUACACAACGUUUUUUAGGAAAAAAACGUUGUAGAUUUGUUUUCCAAAAAUUAGCAAAUGCUUAAAAAUGUUGUAGAAGGUAUGAUUCCACAACGUUUUUUGGAUAAAAAUGUUGUUGUUUAUAUAAAUAUACAACAUUUUUAAAAUGUUGUAGAUAAAAAAGAAAAAGAAAAAAAAAGGUGUGAUUCACAUAAGCUGUGAGUUUUAAUACAAUAUUGUCUCGUAGACAGUAUCCAAACUCAAAUUAUUACGAUGCCAUAUAAAAUACAGCAGCAAAUAUUUCAAGACCCCAAAGAAGAACGAGAAGAUUGCUAUCUAUUGUCCAUUCUAAUGAGGUGCACUUUUGACGCUUUCAAAGUCGGGUUCUCAUCACCCUAUUGUUGUUCACCAAAAUCAAUUAUUAAGUGACGUAUAAUAUACGACACACCCAUCUAAGGUCCUCAAUAUAAUUAUAUAUUGCAUGUCAUGCAAUUUUAUAAUGUAUUGAGAAACUUCUACAGUCUCGGACCAUCACACUAUUCCCCUGUUAUCCCCGCUCGACCCAGCUACACUCUUAAUACCUGUAAGAAAUUGUGAAGCAAAAGGGUGAGCACAAAUAGCCCAGUAAAGUAUGACUAAGAUAAUUAAUUUAUCAAUGGCCUUCAUCAGUAAUAAAUCAGAGAUUUAGAAUAUAUGGUAGAUAAUAAAAGUUUUCAACCAUAAUUGCAGCGGAAUCAACAAUCCAUUAGAAGAGUCAAGUAGAACAUAAUGUCUCUCCAAAUUAAAAUUCCAUCGUUAAUAGUUUAUUCCUGUAAUACUCAUUAAAAGUUCUUUGUUGUACCCAAGACAAAGAAAACUCUCAUCACCUGUCUUCACCUUAAAAGGAGAGUAUUCCGACUGGUAUAGCGGAGAUAUUCUUGAAGAAAAGCUUGCACUAUUUGUUAUACUCAAAGUUUCCUUAACUCAAAAGAAAUACGCUCAAUAUUAUAGAAGAAAUUUUUUUUGAUCCUGGUGUUAUUUUCAUUUCUAAACUAAACAUCCUAUUUAUAGGAGAAUGGCAGGAUACUAUUUAAGAAAAAUAAUCACGGACUGCACAGUGGAUUUCAAACGAUUUCACGGGGGAAGAAUUCUGAUUUUUUUUAUUAUUUUACUAUGCAACAC